RNAcentral lists this ribosomal RNA (403 nucleotides) under uncultured bacterium. RNAcentral describes it as "partial 16S ribosomal RNA". It matches the Rfam family "Bacterial small subunit ribosomal RNA", at positions 30 to 526 of the family's 1533-position model. The record is from RNAcentral.
AUUGAACGCUGGCGGCAGGCCUAACACAUGCAAGUCGAGCGAGAGGCGGACGGGUGAGUAAUGUAUGGGGACUGCCCGAUAGAGUGGGAUAACUACUGGACACGGUAGCUAAUACAGCAUACUAUCGGAUAACCCAUAUGGGAUUAGCUAGUAGGUGAGGUAAUGGCGCACCGGGGCGACGAUCCCUUGCUGGUCUGAGAGGAUGAUCAGCCACACUGGGACUGGGACACGGCCCGGACUCCUACGGGGGCGGCAGUGGGGAAUAUUGGACAGUGGGCGCAGUCCUGAUGCAGCAAUGCCGCGUGUAUGAAGAAGGCCCUGGGGUUGUAAAGUACUUUCAGUCGGGAGGCGUUACCGACAGAAGAAGCAUCGGCUAACUCCGUGCCAGCAGCCGCGGUAAUUC